CCCUACGGGGGGCAGCAGUGGGGGAUAUUGCACAAUGGGGGAAACCCUGAUGCAGCGACGCCGCGUGGGUGAAGAAGCGCCUCGGCGCGUAAAGCCCUGUCAGCAGGGAAGAAAAUGACGGUACCUGAAGAAGAAGCCCCGGCUAACUACGUGCCAGCAGCCGCGGUAAUACGUAGGGGGCAAGCGUUAUCCGGGUUUACUGGGUGUAAAGGGGGCGCAGACGGCGAUGCAAGCCAGGAGUGAAAGCCCGGGGCCCAACCCCGGGACUGCUCUUGGAACUGCGGGGCCGGAGGGCAGGAGGGGCG
This 305-nucleotide ribosomal RNA is filed under the name uncultured bacterium. RNAcentral's name for it is "bacterial SSU rRNA". It matches the Rfam family "Bacterial small subunit ribosomal RNA", at positions 337 to 659 of the family's 1533-position model. The record is from RNAcentral.